CCACGCUACAGGGGAGGGGAGAAGCUGCAGCCGCCUGAGGCUCUUCACAGAGCGCACAGGCGGCUGCAGUAUUUAAAGGGCCGGCCCCAGGUGCCGACGGCCCACCGGGAAAUUUCCCGGUAUCCCGGUGGGCCAGUCCGGCCCUGAGUGUGGGUCACAUUAGCAAUCAUUUCACUGUGAGAUGUGUCUCUCCUUUUGAGAUGGUUCUUGGAGGUAGUCCUCACGAUCAAAAGAACUUGUAUAGUGUGUUAUAUAGUCCUGCUUGUUAACAUAAUCCCAAUGCAGUUUUAAAACGACAGCUAGGGUUGAUGUUAUGAUAAUGCUGCAGAUUGUAAGAAGCAGACACCAUAACCAAUUUUCUAGCAUCCUUCUGCUUCCAUCUUUGCAUUUCUUUCUUACUGUAUAAAAUAAUUCAGGUACAGUCUGUUUUCUCGAGAGUCUUUCUGAUAAUAAUGUUGAUUCAUUUUUCAUACAUUCCAUGUUAACUGUGAAUGUAUCACGUCUGUCUGUCCAUCCUUCUCCUUCACAUUUGCAGGUUCAGAUGUCAGAUCAUGAUUCAGUCUGUUACGUGGCUAUGAUUCUGGUGGCUUUUCUGUCGUCCUCUGAUUUAUCUUGCCAUCUUUAACAGCAUCCACUGUGUCAGUCAGUGGUUCUGUGAAUGUCUUGGAAGUAUUUUAGCAGGUUGCAAAAUAUCAAAUUCACUGUUCUCUGUUGGCUCUGAUUGUUCUCUGUAGUAAAAGUUCUCGGAGUCACCCUCUCCAGGACAAGCUGGCCAACAGAAGGAAAUAGGUGGUGGUGCAAGACGAGGUGGGCUGGAAAAAAAAUUCCCUAAAUUUCUCUAAUAGAACCAAUGGUUCUAAGCUCUCCCUGGUGCAGAAAUAUGUUUGUCAGUGAAAAACGUGUAACAUUUCAUAUGGUGUCUCACCAUUUGUAUCAUCAGGUAUGUUGUGAAUGCUCAUCUGUACCAUGGGAAUAAAUAGAUACCACUGUGUGGGGCAAGCAACUAGUAACUUGGUUAAUAAUCAUUUAACCUCAGCAUUUUCCCAGACCACAACCCCACUUCUUUGGGGGUGGUUGAGGCACUGAAAUCCCAAAGUAACCCAAAUGUGGUUGCCCAGUUUUAGGUUUCCUUUGCAGUAACUGCAGGACCACCAUCCAAAUGGAUGGUCCUGGGAUUAUCAAAUGCAUACUAAGGAACUGAGACUAGAAAACGUGGCAUCAGAGGUUGCACUUCGCACAGGAUAUAUCCAAGUAAACCUGGUACAUGCAUCAACACAUACAAAAACAUAUUUAUAACCAUGAGAUGUUGGCAAACUUCCAAUAUAUAGUAAUUCAAAAAGUAUGUUAGAUAUUUUUCAAUAAACAGUACAUCAGUAAUGUGGCAAUAAGCAAAUGCUUAUGAUUAGUAAACACAUGAAUUACGGUAUUUCCCAUAUUGGACCACUAAUAUUCCUUUUCAGGAGUCAGAAGUACAUUAUCUCUCUCUAUAAGAGCUCGUCCUAGCCAUAAAAAAGCUUUUAGGGCAAGUCCAUCUUUCCUCUAUAGGAAGAACAACCAACAUAUUACCUUCAAUGGUUAUUAUGUAAUUAACCCCUCUAAACGAUAGGAGUAUUUAUACGGAUACCAGGUGGAUGAGGUCUGGAUAUCCUUGCAAGCAUAAACUCUGCAUCAUGACUGAGAGAUAGGGUAUGCGAUGUGAUCCAGUGACCACAGAAAAGCGUUGGUAGACACAUUGCAUCAAAGUGCCUGUUACAGACCAACUACAUGAGGAGAGGACCCAUGCUUUGUUAUAAGCAUGUCCAUACACGUAUUACAAUGCCAGGCUUUCAAUUUGUUACCACAAAGCAAAUUGCAGUUGUGGAUAUAAACUCACGACGUAUCGUAAGAAAAACUGUUUGAACUCCAGACUGAGACUCGAGAUCAGUGAACAGUGGACCAAAAUAGAUAAAUGAAAUCUUAUCAAUUACUAUACUUUCAAUAUAUUACUUUAUCCUCUGUAUUAACUAUGAAAUAUUAAAGUUAAAACAAUAACAUUUACAAGCCAACUUUUAGUGUGCAUAGGAAUUACAAGGCCGUUCAUAAUGUGAGAUAAAGAACAGCUUUUUUUUAAAACCAGAUAGUCUGUGAACACAAAAUUACCUUGCGCUGAAAAUUCACUUGCAGGGGAAAAACAAAACCUUCUUUUUUUUUUUUCUUUAGUAAAUUAAUUAAUUAAUUAAACGUAGUUAGAACCUCCCUCAAAGUCCCGACGACUUUGCAAGAAACAUGUCGUCCUUAAAUACUGGGUAGGUCUAUUAAACAGUGACAUAGCAUUGUUACCAUGUGUAUUAUGUUGUCACAGCUAUAAUGUGCAGUAUUACAAACUAUUUUAUAAGUGUUGUGCAAACUGUUCAUUAAAAGCCAGUGAUCUAGCGAGCUAUAGAACAUUUAUUUAUUUAUUCUUUAAAGCUCUGACCUCAAUCGGCAAAGCAAUAUUGUAAUGGUGUCCAUUGCAAUCUGCUAUCUAUACUUGCUGCUCUCAAAAAUUCUGAAUAUGUUCAGAGAUUUCUUGGGCAAUAAUAAAUCCCCAAAAACAACAACUUUGCAUUUAUGCUAAACCUGCCUGUUGUAAACGUAUUCUGUAUAUUUCUUGUCAUAAGUACUUGUACUUAAAUCUGUUUAACAAAGCUGUUUAUAUUGUGACUGUUUAUAUAUUUU
This 2697-nucleotide long non-coding RNA is filed under the name Pelobates cultripes (western spadefoot toad). The record is from RNAcentral. Lineage: Eukaryota; Metazoa; Chordata; Amphibia; Anura; Pelobatidae.